Molecule: ribosomal RNA, 128 nt
Filed under: Oenothera rosea
Lineage: Eukaryota; Viridiplantae; Streptophyta; Magnoliopsida; Myrtales; Onagraceae
Description: partial 18S ribosomal RNA
Rfam family: Eukaryotic small subunit ribosomal RNA
Source: RNAcentral
UGUUCGGAUCGCGGCGACGUGGGCGCUCGUCGCCGACGACGUCGCGAGAAGUCCACUGAACCUUAUCAUUUAGAGGAAGGAGAAGUCGUAACAAGGUUUCCGUAGGUGAACCUGCGGAAGGAUCAUUG